GCAAAUGUCUCUUUCUGAAACUGUUUCCAAUGCUUCCUUUUUGUUCUCUCCAAAACCUGUUUAAUCCCAUUGUUUGUCAUUGCUAUGCAUGUCCACUGUGCUAUCCCCUGCCAUACAUCUUUUAUCCAUUUACAUGUCUCAAAUAAAUGCACAUUAUUCUCCAUUACCUUCUCCUCACAAAGGCAGCAAUCAGAGUCAUCAACCUGGAUGUGCAAUUUAUGUUUAUGUUCCUGUGUGAGUAAUCUCCCUUGUAUAGCC
This 258-nucleotide long non-coding RNA is filed under the name Solanum tuberosum (potato). RNAcentral's name for it is "long non-coding RNA (STUB_LNC009005)". Lineage: Eukaryota; Viridiplantae; Streptophyta; Magnoliopsida; Solanales; Solanaceae. The record is from RNAcentral.